AUUGAACGCUGGCGGCAGGCCUAACACAUGCAAGUCGAGCGGAGCGGCGGACGGGUGAGUAAUGCCUAGGCAUGUGCCUGGUAGUGGGGGAUAACGUCCGGAAACGGGCGCUAAUACCGCAUACUAUCAGAUGAGCCUAGGUCGGAUUAGCUAGUUGGUGGGGUAAUGGCCGACCAAGGCGACGAUCCGUAACUGGUCUGAGUGGAAGAUCAUCCAACGUGGAACUGAGACACGGUCCAGACUCCUACGGGAGGCAGCAGUGGGGAAUAUUGGACAAUGGGCGAAAGCCUGAUCCAGCCAUGCCGCGUGUGUGAAGAAGGUCUUCGGAUUGUAAAGCACUUUAAGUUGGGAGGCGUUACCAGCAGAAUAAGCACCGGCUAACUUCGUGCCAGCAGCCGCGGUAAUAC
RNAcentral lists this ribosomal RNA (407 nucleotides) under uncultured bacterium. RNAcentral's name for it is "partial 16S ribosomal RNA". It matches the Rfam family "Bacterial small subunit ribosomal RNA", at positions 30 to 526 of the family's 1533-position model. The record is from RNAcentral.